AUACUUACCUGGACGGGGUCGAUGGGUGAUCAAUAAGACUCAUGGCCUAGGCUGGUGGCUUUCAUUGCACUUGGAAGGUGCACUUGCUUAAGGUCUCCUCAAGUGGGAGAGCCUACGUCUUUAUUUAUGGCAGUGGGGGCCUGCGUUCGCGCGACCCCUUC
Small nuclear RNA from Hibiscus syriacus, 161 nucleotides. RefSeq annotates it as U1 spliceosomal RNA. The transcript has a single exon. Lineage: Eukaryota; Viridiplantae; Streptophyta; Magnoliopsida; Malvales; Malvaceae. The record is from RefSeq and is a predicted model, not a curated record.